This 464-nucleotide ribosomal RNA is filed under the name uncultured bacterium. RNAcentral describes it as "partial 16S ribosomal RNA". It matches the Rfam family "Bacterial small subunit ribosomal RNA", at positions 28 to 506 of the family's 1533-position model. The record is from RNAcentral.
GACGAACGCUGGCGGCGUGCUUAACACAUGCCAGUCGAACGGAAAGGCCCUGCUUGCAGGGUACUCGAGUGGCGAACGGGUGAGUAACACGUGGGUGAUCUGCCCUGCACUUCGGGUUAAGCCUGGGAAACUGGGUCUAAUACCGGAAAGGAGCCAUUUUGAGUGUGAUGGUUGGAAAGUUUUUUCGGUGUAGGAUGAGCCCGCGGCCUAUCAGCUUGUUGGUGGGGUAAUGGCCUACCAAGGCGGCGACGGGUAGCCGGCCUGAGAGGGUGGACGGCCACAUUGGGACUGAGGUACGGCCCAGACUCGUACGGGAGGCAGCGGUGGGGAAUAUUGCACAAUGGGCGCAAGCCUGAUGCGGAGACGCCGCGUGGGGGAUGACGGCCUUCGGGUUGUAAACUCCUUUCGCUAGGGACGAAGCUUUUUGUGACGGUACCUAGAUAAGAAGCACCGGCUAACUACGU